GAAGAACAAGAAAACAAUUUUCAGCGAUGGAUGUCUUGACUCGCGCAACGAUGAAGGAGGGAGUGAAAUGCGAAGCGCAAUGUGAAUUGUAGAAUUCAGGGAAUCAUCAGAUUUCUGGACAUAAAUGGCACCUUGUCAGUC
RNAcentral lists this ribosomal RNA (141 nucleotides) under Sarcocystis tenella. RNAcentral describes it as "partial 5.8S ribosomal RNA". The stretch from base 16 to 141 matches the Rfam family "5.8S ribosomal RNA", at positions 1 to 126 of the family's 154-position model. From Rfam's summary of the family: 5.8S ribosomal RNA (5.8S rRNA) is a component of the large subunit of the eukaryotic ribosome. It is transcribed by RNA polymerase I as part of the 45S precursor that also contains 18S and 28S rRNA. Lineage: Eukaryota; Apicomplexa; Conoidasida; Eucoccidiorida; Sarcocystidae. The record is from RNAcentral.